AAAAAAUAACAAAAUAAUGUUUAAUUUCACUUAACGGAGUUAGAUGGUAAGACGAGUUUGGAUCGACAGUAAUAUGAGACGGUAUACCACGGGUGAAAUCCAAUAGAUAUGUUUAAUUUCACUGAACGAGGUUAGAUGGUAGAACGGUUUGGAUUAAUAGUAAUACGAGACGGUAUACCACGAGUGAAAUCUAUUAGAUAUUUUUAAUUUUAUUGAACAGAAUUAGAUGGUAGGACGGAUUUGGGUCAAUAGUAAUACGAGACGGUAUAUCACACGUGAAAUCCUAGAUAUAAUAAU
This 297-nucleotide small RNA is filed under the name Arabidopsis thaliana (thale cress). RNAcentral's name for it is "ATSL280750". The record is from RNAcentral. Lineage: Eukaryota; Viridiplantae; Streptophyta; Magnoliopsida; Brassicales; Brassicaceae.